GGCCGGGAACUCAAAGGAGACUGCCAGUGAUAAACUGGAGGAAGGUGGGGAUGACGUCAAGUCAUCAUGGCCCUUACGACCAGGGCUACACACGUGCUACAAUGGCGCAUACAAAGAGAAGCGACCUCGCGAGAGCAAGCGGACCUCAUAAAGUGCGUCGUAGUCCGGAUUGGAGUCUGCAACUCGACUCCAUGAAGUCGGAAUCGCUAGUAAUCGUGGAUCAGAAUGCCACGGUGAAUACGUUCCCGGGCCUUGUACACACCGCCCGUCACACCAUGGGAGUGGGUUGCAAAAGAAGUAGGUAGCUUAACCUUCGGGAGGGCGCUUACCACUUUGUGAUUCAUGACUGGGGUGAAGUCGUAACAAGGUAACCGUAGGGGAACCUGCGGUUGGAUCACCUCCUUA
RNAcentral lists this ribosomal RNA (405 nucleotides) under Escherichia coli. RNAcentral's name for it is "bacterial SSU rRNA". It matches the Rfam family "Bacterial small subunit ribosomal RNA", at positions 1129 to 1533 of the family's 1533-position model. The record is from RNAcentral. RNAcentral also lists the same sequence under 18 other names. Lineage: Bacteria; Pseudomonadati; Pseudomonadota; Gammaproteobacteria; Enterobacterales; Enterobacteriaceae.